This 330-nucleotide ribosomal RNA is filed under the name uncultured bacterium. RNAcentral describes it as "bacterial SSU rRNA". It matches the Rfam family "Bacterial small subunit ribosomal RNA", at positions 568 to 898 of the family's 1533-position model. The record is from RNAcentral.
UGUGUAGGCGGCCUUUUAAGUUUGGUGUGAAAUCUCCCGGCUCAACCGGGAGGGUGCGCCGAAUACUGAGAGGCUAGGGUGCGGGAGAGGAAAGUGGAAUUCCUGGUGUAGCGGUGAAAUGCGUAGAUAUCAGGAGGAACACCGGUGGUGUAAACGGCUUUCUGGACCGUAACCGACGCUGAGACACGAAAGCGUGGGUAGCAAACAGGAUUAGAUACCCUGGUAGUCCACGCCCUAAACGAUGCAUAUUUGGUGUGGGCCAUUCAUUUGGUCCGUGCCGGAGCUAACGCGUUAAAUAUGCCGCCUGGGGAGUACAGUCGCAAGGCUGAA